UGUUUAUGCACUUUGUAUGUUGACUCUAUUAUGCAAAUAUUGUUUUUACUAACCAAUACUUUAACCACGCUCCAACUGAGCUGCUGCUGUUCACCGAGGACCAAAAGGUGAGUGUGAGCAUAACGACUAUAUAUCAUCACCAAGUUUAUCUGUAGAAAUAUAGGAAUAUAAUUAGAGUACGAGCUUGUGACCUGUAAGAAUAAAAUAAAACCUGAGUAACUUGGUUCUCCGCGUUACAUCACCGAUUCAAUGAUCAAAAUGUAAUAUGUGUUACUCACUGUUAUUUUUAACAGGCCGCUACCUCUCGCUGUGGACUAAAAGAUGAGUAAGAGUAUCUGACUUCUGUAAUAUGUAUAUAAAGUAAUGUGUGUUAUUGUGUAAACUAGCUCUUUGUGCACCUCAGUAUCCUUAAACUGUCACUAAUUCAAUAACUCAAAGGUGUUUGUGCCCCAGACAGAAAAGUGUCAAUAGUGAAUGAUAACAUCAAUAUUUAGGUAUAUUUGCUGGCCUUUCUCACUAUGACGUCCACACAGGGAGCAGCAAAGGAGGAAGAGCCGGACUCCGGGUUCCUGCAGGACAUCCAGGGCUACACGUUGAACACUAAAAAGAAACGCCCACAUUCCACUCCCAGGACAAGAUGGAGAGCAGCUAAGUUGAACUACUUCCUGUUCUUCUGUUUCAGAGACUCAACUUCCUGCACUACAUCCAGGGUGACCAUGACGACAGAAGACAAUCGCUCACUCCCGACCAGGUGAGAAGGACCGUGACCAGAGGAGAGCUUUAGGCGUCCACGGUUCAGUGGAGGCAGCACUCCUGUUUUAUCCUUUGGAAAUCCUCGUGGUCCUGAGAGUGGAUGUAAACAGAAGUGCAAGCAGCCGUCCACUCAGAACAUUUCUCCACCUCACUGUUUAGAUGAAGAAUUCAAUAAAACACUUCUCAUAGAA
Molecule: non-coding RNA, 944 nt
Organism: Gasterosteus aculeatus aculeatus (three-spined stickleback)
Lineage: Eukaryota; Metazoa; Chordata; Actinopteri; Perciformes; Gasterosteidae
Source: RefSeq, a predicted model, not a curated record